GGGGGCGUACUGGUUUCGACUUAACAGAUGCGCCAGAGGCGGCAUGCCGAGGAUGGUUCGUUGGCCUCGUAAAACAUCGGACCAAAAAAUAAUUGCUAACGAAGAAUUAGCUCUCGCGGCCUAAAUGAGCCACGACGUCCGCCGGUGGACACCUGCUACGCCGGAUGGACGCCACAGCAGGUUAGGCUCGACGCGGAGUCUGCGCGCGGCGGGCUGAAGCUCUUACCAUGCAGGCUAGGCUAGGCGAGUUCGGUGUCAGGCCGUCAUCGUCUGGCAGAAAACUCUCUCCUGACUAAGCAUGUAGUCGCGGCUGGUAACUUUGCUAAGGACGCGGGUUCAACUCCCGCCGCCUCCAGUC
This 358-nucleotide transfer-messenger RNA is filed under the name Verrucomicrobiota bacterium. RNAcentral describes it as "Verrucomicrobia bacterium tmRNA". It matches the Rfam family "transfer-messenger RNA". Rfam says of the family: Bacterial tmRNA, also known as 10Sa RNA or SsrA, is named for its dual tRNA and mRNA-like properties. Its role is to liberate the mRNA from a stalled ribosome. To accomplish this part of the tmRNA is used as a reading frame that ends in a translation stop signal. The record is from RNAcentral. Lineage: Bacteria; Pseudomonadati; Verrucomicrobiota.